GUGGGGAAUAUUGGACAAUGGGCGAAAGCCUGAUCCAGCCAUGCCGCGUGUGUGAAGAAGGUCUUCGGAUUGUAAAGCACUUUAAGUUGGGAGGAAGGGCAGUAAGUUAAUACCUUGCUGUUUUGACGUUACCGACAGAAUAAGCACCGGCUAACUUCGUGCCAGCAGCCGCGGUAAUACGAAGGGUGCAAGCGUUAAUCGGAAUUACUGGGCGUAAAGCGCGCGUAGGUUGUUUUGUAAGUUGGAGGUGAAAUCCCCGGGCUCAACCUGGGAACUGCAUCCAAAACUACUGAGCUAGAGUACGGUAGAGGGUAGUGGAAUUUCCUGUGUAGCGGUGAAAUGCGUAGAUAUAGGAAGGAACACCAGUGGCGAAGGCGACUACCUGGACUGAUACUGACACUGAGGUGCGAAAGCGUGGGGAGCAAACAGGAUUAGAAACCCUGGUAGUCC
RNAcentral lists this ribosomal RNA (450 nucleotides) under uncultured bacterium. RNAcentral describes it as "bacterial SSU rRNA". It matches the Rfam family "Bacterial small subunit ribosomal RNA", at positions 354 to 796 of the family's 1533-position model. The record is from RNAcentral.